AGUGAACGCUGGCGGCGUGCUUAACACAUGCAAGUCGAACGAGAACGGAUUAUAGCUUGCUAUAAUUGUCAGCUAAGUGGCGCACGGGUGAGUAAUGUAUAGGUAAUAUGCCUCUUACUAAGGGAUAACAAAUGGAAACGUUUGCUAAUACCUUAUACUCCUUAUUAACAUAAGUUAAUAAGGGAAAGAUUUAUUGGUAAGAGAUUAGCCUGUAUUGUAUCAGUUAGUUGGUGGGGUAAUGGCUCACCAAGACUAUGACACGUAACUGGUUUGAGAGGAUGAUCAGUCACACUGGAACUGAGACACGGUCCAGACUCCUACGGGAGGCAGCAGUGGGGAAUAUUGCACAAUGGACGAAAGUCUGAUGCAGCAACGCCGCGUGGAGGAUGACACAUUUCGGUGCGUAAACUCCUUUUAUAUGAGAAGAUAAUGACGGUAUUAUAUGAAUAAGCACCGGCUAACUCCGUGCCAGCAGCCGCCGUAA
Molecule: ribosomal RNA, 484 nt
Filed under: uncultured bacterium
Lineage: Bacteria
Description: partial 16S ribosomal RNA
Rfam family: Bacterial small subunit ribosomal RNA
Source: RNAcentral